GGGGGGCCCCCGGCGGGAGCCGGGCGGGGCGGCGGGGCGAGCUCGGGCGUCCCCGCCUGGCGCUCGCCCGCGCUGCAUGGCGCUGCAGCUCAGCCUGCCUUGCAAGAGGGAGCUCGAGUCCCGCUCUUGAGCUCGCAGCGCCUCUCACUCCGCAACGCGCACAGCGAGCAGGCGGUCGGCAGGGGCGGACGGACGGCCGCCCGCGCGGACCGGGCGCCCCGCAGGACGGACACGGAGUUAAUGAAGUACUGCUUUCAGAAAAGGAGGUGAUGGAAAUUGGAAGAGGCUAAGAUCCCUAUCUUUAUCUGCACCAAUGAAAAUCCGUAUUUCAUUUGAAAAAAAUAAAACCGUCUUCCAAUCGUGCAGGAAGUAUGCAGCAACCGCAUGUGCCUCCAUUUCUUAACCACUCAACAGGCUGGGUCUCCAUUGCCUCUGGUUUUCUUGAAUUAGAAAUGAAUUUUCCCUUUUCUGGGUUUCACUUCUUUUCAGAAUGUACCUCAAAAUGUCCUAAGCCAGGUUGGAAAAGGAAAUCCAUUUUACACGGUAGAAAUUACGAUCUCUUUCAUAUUGCAACCAAGGGGCAAUCAGGUUCAUUAUUUUGUGUGAUUUAUCGCAAAAUUGCCACCACCAGUAUUUUGGUGAAAUUGUAAAGCCUAAUUGGGAUUAUUGGAUGGGAAGCCCAGCCAACAGAAUAUUGAUCCCUGAAUUCAAAGCAAUGAGUAAGCUGCUUUGGCUCAGUUAUGCUUAUAUAUAUAUUUUUCCCCUCAAAUAUGUUUGGCCUUUCAGAGAGUCCUCAGCUUACAACCACAAUUGAGCCCAAAAUUUAUCUUGCCAAGUGAGAAAUUUGUUAUGUGAGUUUUGCCCCCUUUUACGACUCCUCUCACCACAUCUGUUAAGUGGAAUCACUGCAGUUUCUUAAAUUAAUAACACAGUUGUAAGUGAAUCUGCUUUCCCUAAUGAUUUUGCUUGUCAGAUGGUCUCAAAAGGGGAUCCUGUGACUCCAGAAUACUGCAACUGUCGUUAACGUGAGUCAGUGUGGAAAAUGGUCAUCAGUCCCUUUUUAAAGUGGUUUUGUAAGUUCGAAUGGUCACUAAAUGAACAGUUGUAAGUCGAGGAUUACCUGUACUGCAACCGUCAUAAAUAGGAGCCAGUUUGCCCAGCAUCUGAAUUUUGUCCAUGUGGCCACGGAGACGUUUCAAUGGUCCUAAGUCACUUCUAGUACCGUUGUACUCAAUUCGCCUUAACAACAGUGGCAAGAAAGAUAAAAUGGGGCAAAACUGACUCACGUGUCUCCCUUAGCAACUGAAAUUGGGGGCUUAAUUGUGGUUGUAGGAAAGCUAGAAAUGAAUAUUGUAUAGUUUUUCAGUCCUGAAAAAUAGGUAGGUUGACUUGUGAUAUGUGUUUGGUCCUCAAAUUUGCCCAACCGCCUUCUGAGGGCGAAAGGAAAAAAACAAACCUUAAAUGUCUUCUUUGUUUGAAAUAAAUGAUAAAUAAAUGAUGAUAAAAUAAAGCUGUUACAUUUUGCUGACCUAAUUCAUUUGCAGUACUCUCUUCCUACAGCUGCUGAGGAAAGCUGCCCACCCCUCCACCAAACAAACCCCAAAAGUCCACAAAAUCGCACACUUUCAACUUAUUUGCUCAAAGUUCUGUUUAUUUCAGGCUGAAAGUCAAAAUUAGCCAAACCUCUUGAUAAUUACAUUAUAUAUAUAUAUAUAUAUUUAUAGCUAUGUAGAUGUACAGAUAAAUUUAUAGAUACUUUGUAGAAAAGGGCAUUUUGCUUCCAUUUGGCUGCUGCCUCUCCCCCCCCAACACACACGCACACACGCACCACAAGCACACACACACACAUGUACAUAAAAAAUAUUAAAAUAGCACAAGAAGAGGCAACUUUUGCCCGUUCGGUUUCCAUCUUCCAUAGCAUCGUCAUUAUAAAGACAUUAGUUUACCCUUCCUUCGCUGGGAAUAAAGGACUCCUUCCUGUC
Pseudonaja textilis is the source of this 1982-nucleotide non-coding RNA. The record is from RefSeq and is a predicted model, not a curated record. Lineage: Eukaryota; Metazoa; Chordata; Lepidosauria; Squamata; Elapidae.